This 523-nucleotide ribosomal RNA is filed under the name uncultured bacterium. Its description in RNAcentral is "bacterial SSU rRNA". It matches the Rfam family "Bacterial small subunit ribosomal RNA", at positions 8 to 575 of the family's 1533-position model. The record is from RNAcentral.
AGAGUUUGAUCAUGGCUCAGAGCGAACGCUGGCGGCAGGCUUAACACAUGCAAGUCGAGCGGGCGUAGCAAUACGUCAGCGGCAGACGGGUGAGUAACGCGUGGGAACGUACCUUUUGGUUCGGAACAACACAGGGAAACUUGUGCUAAUACCGGAUAAGCCCUUACGGGGAAAGAUUUAUCGCCGAAAGAUCGGCCCGCGUCUGAUUAGCUAGUUGGUAGGGUAAUGGCCUACCAAGGCGACGAUCAGUAGCUGGUCUGAGAGGAUGAUCAGCCACAUUGGGACUGAGACACGGCCCAAACUCCUACGGGAGGCAGCAGUGGGGAAUAUUGGACAAUGGGGGCAACCCUGAUCCAGCCAUGCCGCGUGAGUGAUGAAGGCCCUAGGGUUGUAAAGCUCUUUUGUGCGGGAAGAUAAUGACGGUACCGCAAGAAUAAGCCCCGGCUAACUUCGUGCCAGCAGCCGCGGUAAUACGAAGGGGGCUAGCGUUGCUCGGAAUCACUGGGCGUAAAGGGUGCGUAGG